CGUGAGGCCCGAAGCCUGAAUUUCUGGGUCCUUCAAAAUGAGGAAGUCAGGACUGGCCUACACUCUGGCGUUCUAGAAAGCGGGUACUGCCGGGUCCCAAGCAGGCAAGGAGGAAGAGCGCGAGCCACAACAACACAGAAGUGCCCCAAGGAAGGAGAUGUUGUUUUAACAGCGAGAGAGUGGAGAAGGGCAGAGGGAGAGGAGAGA
This is a long non-coding RNA of Enhydra lutris kenyoni (northern sea otter), 207 nucleotides long. RefSeq lists it as uncharacterized. The record is from RefSeq and is a predicted model, not a curated record. The transcript has 3 exons. Lineage: Eukaryota; Metazoa; Chordata; Mammalia; Carnivora; Mustelidae.